AACGAACGCUGGCGGCAGGCCUAACACAUGCAAGUCGAGCGGACAUCUUCGGAUGUUAGCGGCGGACGGGUGAGUAACGCGUGGGAACGUGCCCUUUGCUUCGGAAUAGCCUCGGGAAACUGGGAGUAAUACCGGAUGUACCCUUUGGGGGAAAGAUUUAUCGGCAAAGGAUCGGCACGCGUUGGAUUCGGUAGUUGGUGGGGUAAUGGCCUACCAAGCCGACGAUCCAUAGCUGGUUUGAGAGGAUGAUCAGCCACACUGGGACUGAGACACGGCCCAGAAUCCUACGGGAGGCAGCAGUGGGGAAUCUUAGACAAUGGGGGAAAGCCUGAUCUAGCCAUGCCGCGUGAGCGAUGAAGGCCUUAGGGUUGUAAAGCUCUUUCAACGGGGAAGAUAAUGACGGUACCCGGAGAAGAAGCCCCGGCUAACUCCGUG
This 435-nucleotide ribosomal RNA is filed under the name uncultured bacterium. RNAcentral's name for it is "partial 16S ribosomal RNA". It matches the Rfam family "Bacterial small subunit ribosomal RNA", at positions 29 to 507 of the family's 1533-position model. The record is from RNAcentral.